CGCCUCCUGCAAAAAUCAACGUAUAGGAGGUCUUGCCUGCCCAGUGACAAGUUAAACGGCCGCGGUAUUUUGACCGUGCGAAGGUAGCGCAAUCACUUGUCUUUUAAAUGAAGACCUGUAUGAAUGGUGGAACGAGGGCUUAACUGUCUCCCUUUUCAAGUCAAUGAAAUUGAUCUGCCCGUGCAGAAGCGGACAUAAAAAUACAAGACGAGAAGACCCUUUGGAGCUUAAGAUACAAGAUCAACUAUGUCAAGAAUCCCCAAACUAGAUUAAACUAAAUAGCUAACUGAUCCCUAUCUUCGGUUGGGGCGACCGCGGGAGAAAACAAAGCUCCCACGCAGACUGGGGUUACAUCCCUAAAACCAAGAAAGACAUCUCUAAGUCACAGAACAUCUGACCACAAAGAUCCGGCCUAACCCGCCGACCAACGGACCAAGUUACCCUAGGGAUAACAGCGCAAUCCCCUUCCAGAGUCCAUAUCGACAAGGGGGUUUACGACCUCGAUGUUGGAUCAGGACAUCCUAAUGGUGCAGCCGCUAUUAAGGGUUCGUUUGUUCAACGAUUAAAGUCCU
This 572-nucleotide ribosomal RNA is filed under the name Pangasius macronema. Its description in RNAcentral is "partial 16S ribosomal RNA". It matches the Rfam family "Bacterial large subunit ribosomal RNA", at positions 1816 to 2597 of the family's 2925-position model. The record is from RNAcentral. Lineage: Eukaryota; Metazoa; Chordata; Actinopteri; Siluriformes; Pangasiidae.